Gallus gallus (chicken) is the source of this 2908-nucleotide long non-coding RNA. RefSeq lists it as uncharacterized. The transcript is spliced from 3 exons. Lineage: Eukaryota; Metazoa; Chordata; Aves; Galliformes; Phasianidae. The record is from RefSeq and is a predicted model, not a curated record.
GGGCAUCUAUUUCCUGUGAUCCCUGCCUACUUGAGGCCUUCUGAAGAUAAGUGGCUCUUUUCUUUCCUUUCUACAUCUGUGGCUGCUGCAUUUGGAUUUGUUCUUGUUUGUUUUAGCUGAAGACUUUGCCACCCAGCUAUUCUCAUUCCAUUCUAAUGUUAGAGAAGGGUGUUUUCAGUGGAGCAAAGUUACUACUGCUAUUCUCGAAGCAGGGUUAAAUAGAGCAUAAAGGGAGAGGGAUAAAAGGUUUAAUUAAGGGCGGUGCGGUAAAGCUAGUGACGCGUGCUGAAAUGCAAUUGCUGCUUUUCCAGGUUCGUGUUUAUGCAGAUGCCGUUGUCGAUUGCAUGUGCGGAUCUGCAGGUUGCUCGGGCACCUGUGAGAGCAAUGUCAACGCAGGGAAUAGAGUUUCCUGCUGUGCCCUACUCUGCCUGGGAUUUUGGUGGUGGCAAAUAUCACGCUGGCGGUGAAGACAUUGAAAAUUAUGGGGACAGGUGUCAGGUGACUUUCUGUGGUGGCAUUUUGCAUUUUUUUUGUUUUUAAUUUUGUGGCGUAAAGAUCAGAGUAAAGCCAAAGAAAGGGAGUAGUUCAUCGCUUCCCCCACUCUGCUCUCCCUUGCCCCUCAUCCAAAACAAACAAACAAAACCCCCCAAAACCAACACACACACACUCUCGCAAAUGUUUGUUAAACCUUUGGAUCUCAGAGAAAACAUGACUAAAGAUGGCAGUGGAAGUACGAGAGCGGCAAUGUGACCAAUGACUGAAUUAUUUAUAACUGUAGAACUGCACGUGUUUUUACUGAACACUGUUACGGAGAUACUUUCACAACCAUCAGCAACAUUGUGCCAAGCAAGGUGACAGAUCCUGCCUACGCUAUGCGACAUAUUGCAACGUUCUCUGGGAGAAGAAGCAGUUUUGGAGAUGGGUGGUCUCACAGCUGUGCAGGAGCUUACAUUUACUCAAACAUAAUAAGGAAAUUGCUCUGGGAGAUGAAUAGCAUUGUACUGCAGAGCUUACAGCUAUUCGUGUGAGCUGUUGCUGCUUUAUGAAUAGCAUUCCAGUCAAUGACGCAACAAACUUCUGGUCGUUGAACUAGCUGAAGGAUGCUGCGAGAGCACUCGGUAUUUCUUUGAGAGAGCCCUUUGCUGGACUCUUGGAAAACGUGUCUUGUGUCGCUUUUCUAAUCGUUGGAUGGUAAGAAGGUAGGAGGAACUGAACUUUGAGUGAGGAUCAAUUGCAUGCGAAGGGUGAGUGGAAAAGCGUCUUUUGUGUAAUCCAUACUCAUUUAAAUUUAAUUUAAAAACAGACAAGUUAUGGGCUUUUUUUUUUUUUGUUAAUUUACAUAUGCAAUACUCAUUUAUAGUCAUCACACGCUUCUUUUUUAAACUUAAGUUUGCCCAGAACAGUUGAUUAAACAGACAAACAAACCUUGAGGACAAACAACGGACCAUCGCAAUGCCAGGACAUUGCAUGAUGUCACAGAUCACAAAAUAAGGCCACAUCUGUUCGACGGUCAUUGGGGGCGGAUAAGUUAAUGAAUGUGGGAAUGUAAUGAAUACGUAAUACAUGUGAAAAUAUAACCCAUUUAGGAACAAUUGACCGGCGGAGCGUUCUCAGAAUUAUCUCGACGGUGCCCCGGCCUCGCCAAUGAAGAAUACCUCACUUAAAGGUGCAGCAGAACAGAAUUUCAGGGAGGUGCUGUGAUGAACGCCAUCUAUUCAGCUGGACGGGAAGCACACUAUUAUGUAUGGAUGACGUGACAGUAAGAAAUCUCACAAAAUUACCUCCCUUAAAAUAACAGGUCAGACUUUCUAAAUUCAUCCUUAUAAGAACCCUUUGUUCCAUCAUACUCCUUCAGUUUAAAAAAACUUUUUAAUUUUUUUUUUUUUUUCAGUCACGCUUGAUCCCUCAUAGCUCGCUAGAAAGCCAUCUCAAGCCUCGGGAGAUCACGAGCCAGUUUUACAGUCGGCACGCUCUCUGUCCUUCCCACACCUUUCCAGAUCAGACAGGCCCACGUAACCAUUGCGUACGAACAACUACACAACGCUCAGUCAGAGUGGGAAAUACCACGAUAUUGGUAAGAUUCAAAGCUGUACAAGAACAACAUGUCAGUGCAACAGUAUAAUAGACAAGGACUUAUGAUUUUAUUGUACAAUUGAUUUUGGCAGGAUUUCAGAAGCUGUAUACAGUACAACAAAGAUAAUUACAAAAACGUGUUUGACAAUUAUUUGUUUUGUUUUAAAAUCCUUUAGCUGCCUGCUGCAUACCUACUGUACAACUACAUUAAUUUACAUUUCAGUAGCAGGCAAUGCCGAGCGUAUCCAUCACCAUCACAAUUGCUUGGAGAGGAUCCACAAUUUCUUGCGUGUUAUCUUUUCUCAAAACCCAGUCCGGUUUAAUUCUGUGGCAAUAAGAGUGGUUCAUCAUUAAAAUAGUAUAUUGUCACUGUAAAAACUGCAGACUAAUUUUUAGGGACAUACCUCGAAACUGUCUUUAUUCUUAGAGGAGUUAUCGGAAUAAAGGAAAUUCCACCAAUUACGGUGUUUGUCUUCUGUUUCACAAGCGUUCUCUCUGCAUCCAUUCUGCACUUGCGAACCGUAAGCUUAUAGAGGCUUUGAAUGCAUGUAACGACUCUGGGCAUGCUUCGGAUUUCCUGAGAAAAGAUACUGUGGGAUCAAAACCUUGGUGUCAUACUCUGAGCAACGAAGUCAAACAGCGCUGGCUGGUGACUGUUUUCCCCGCCUCGGAAUUGCAUUUUCCCACCGACAAAGUUCAGUUAUAACAGGUAACGGGUAUCGGGCAAGGAGAGGAAAAAAAAUCACCCGCACAUACACAUAACACCAAAACAUACAAGAAAAGCAAAAAGCAAGGAUAAAUCAAGCAAUUAAAAAGAAGACCCUGGGUCUUACCA